AGACCCCGGUAGUCCUAGCUGUAAACGAUGUGAACUUGGCGUCGGCGGGUUCAAAGCCGUCGGUGCCGAAGCUAACGCGAUAAGUUCACCGCCUGGGGACUACGGCCGCAAGGUUAAAACUCAAAGGAAUUGACGGGUCCCCGCACAAGCAGCGGAGCGUGUGGUUUAAUUCGAUGUUACACGAAGAACCUUACCCAGGUUUGACACGUUGGUGGUAGGGAAGCGAAAGCAGACCGACCCGCAAGGGAGCCUUCACAGGUGUUGCAUGGCUGUCGUCAGCUCGUGUCGUGAGAUGUUCGGUUAAGUCCGCCAACGAGCGCAACCCUCGCCGUAUGUUACAAGUGUCAUACGGGACCGCCGGUAUCAAGCCGGAGGAAGGUGGGGAUGACGUCAAGUCAGCAUGGCCUUUAUAUCUGGGGCUACACACACGCUACAAUGGCCGGUACAAUGGGUCGCUAAGCCGCGAGGUAGAGCCAAUCCCCAAAGCCGGCCUCAGUUCAGAUCACAGGCUGCAACUCGCCUGUGUGAAGUUGGAGUUGCUAGUAAACGCGCGUCAGCUAUAGNGC
This 566-nucleotide ribosomal RNA is filed under the name uncultured Chloroflexota bacterium. Its description in RNAcentral is "bacterial SSU rRNA". It matches the Rfam family "Bacterial small subunit ribosomal RNA", at positions 782 to 1360 of the family's 1533-position model. Lineage: Bacteria; Bacillati; Chloroflexota. The record is from RNAcentral.